This 295-nucleotide long non-coding RNA is filed under the name Ananas comosus (pineapple). RNAcentral's name for it is "long non-coding RNA (ACOM_LNC040652)". The record is from RNAcentral. Lineage: Eukaryota; Viridiplantae; Streptophyta; Magnoliopsida; Poales; Bromeliaceae.
GGGAUAAGCUCUUUAACCGGUCUUUUUACUAGAGCUCUUGCCUAACUGAUUCCUGACCAGGGACCGGAUAGAGCUCUCCUACCAUUUAUUUUUAUUUUUAUUUUUUAUUUUGAAGUUUUUUGAUCUUUCAUCUCAUUCAUUGUACUUAUCCCUUUCUAAAAAUGAAUUCUAGUUUCUUAUUGGAUCCAGUUUAUAUUAUUCUCUUCGAUUGAUUGUAUCUCAAAACACACACCGCUUAAAAACUUCCCUUCUCUUUCUAUUGAAAAUAAUAGAAAAAAUAAAAAAUAGAUUUCCA